This 390-nucleotide unclassified non-coding RNA is filed under the name soil metagenome. RNAcentral describes it as "partial contains 5.8S ribosomal RNA, internal transcribed spacer 2, and large subunit ribosomal RNA". The stretch from base 1 to 122 matches the Rfam family "5.8S ribosomal RNA", at positions 35 to 154 of the family's 154-position model. The record is from RNAcentral.
GAUGAAGAACGCAGCGAAAUGCGAUACUUGGUGUGAAUUGCAGAAUCCCGCGAAUCAUCGAGUUUUUGAACGCAAGUUGCGCCCGAAGCCAUUCGGCCGAGGGCACGUCUGCCUGGGUGUCACGCAUCGUUGCCCCCCCAAACUCCGGUUCGGGCGGGGCGGAAGUUGGCCUCCCGUGCGUGCCUGCGCGCGCGGUUAGCCCAAAAGCGAGUCCUCGGCGAUGAGCGCCACGACAAUCGGUGGUUUUUUUACCCUCGUUCCUCGUCGUGCGUGCCCCGUCGCCCGAACGCGCUCUUGCAACCCUUACGCGUCGCCUCGGUGGCGCUCCCAACGCGACCCCAGGUCAGGCGGGACUACCCGCUGAGUUUAAGCAUAUCAAUAAGCGGAGGA